This 581-nucleotide long non-coding RNA is filed under the name Gallus gallus (chicken). Lineage: Eukaryota; Metazoa; Chordata; Aves; Galliformes; Phasianidae. The record is from RNAcentral.
ACUGUCCUUGUGGACCAGGAGGUCCCAUCUGAGGCAUAUUCAUUGGUAUCUGCUGAGGUGGAAGGGGCUGCUGAAACCCUUGAGGCAUCUGUGACAUUGGGCCUUGCCCUGGAAAAGGCUGGGGUCCGUGAAGAGAGCCUCCUGGAGGCGGCUGCACUUGCUCAGCUUGUUUUUGUGCAAGUCUCUCAAUCUUCAGUUGCUCCAGGAGUUGUGGGUUUGUGUACUGAAGUGCUGCCAUUUCCUGUUCAAUCUCUGCCUGCGUCUUCUUUUUCUCCUCCAGCUUAAUAUCUUCCUUCCUAUCAAUCAAUGGCUCAGGUGGGGGAGGCAAAGGAACUUUAUUCUGCAUCCAUGCCUGCUGAAACUGUGCUGGUAUUGGUUUUGCAUAGGGCACUUUUUUCUGUGGCACUUUCUUUUGGUCCUUUUGCAUUACUUCCUCCAUUCCCCAGUCUAGUCCUGGGAUGGUCAUUUCAAUGUCAUUGGACUCAUCUUUCCCCAUCUGCUCUUGCUCCAUGGCUAUUUUCAACUGUUCAGGUAUUCCCAUCCCAGGGAUAACUGCUAGGCUGUUGGGUUCCAAAUCAUCU